GACAAACGCUGGCGGCGUGCUUAACACAUGCAAGUCGAACGGAAAGGCCCUGCUUUUGUGGGGUGCUCGAGUGGCGAACGGGUGAGUAACACGUGAGUAACCUGCCCUUGACUUUGGGAUAACUUCAGGAAACUGGGGCUAAUACCGGAUAGGAGCUCCUGCUGCAUGGUGGGGGUUGGAAAGUUUCGGCGGUUGGGGAUGGACUCGCGGCUUAUCAGCUUGUUGGUGGGGUAGUGGCUUACCAAGGCUUUGACGGGUAGCCGGCCUGAGAGGGUGACCGGCCACAUUGGGACUGAGAUACGGCCCAGACUCCUACGGGAGGCAGCAGUGGGGAAUAUUGCACAAUGGGCGGAAGCCUGAUGCAGCAACGCCGCGUGCGGGAUGACGGCCUUCGGGUUGCAAACCGCUUUCGCCUGUGACGAAGCGUGAGUGACGGUAAUGGGUAAAGAAGCACCGGCUAACUACGUG
This 468-nucleotide ribosomal RNA is filed under the name uncultured bacterium. RNAcentral's name for it is "partial 16S ribosomal RNA". It matches the Rfam family "Bacterial small subunit ribosomal RNA", at positions 28 to 507 of the family's 1533-position model. The record is from RNAcentral.